This 973-nucleotide ribosomal RNA is filed under the name Flavobacterium pectinovorum. RNAcentral describes it as "bacterial SSU rRNA". It matches the Rfam family "Bacterial small subunit ribosomal RNA", at positions 56 to 1038 of the family's 1533-position model. Lineage: Bacteria; Pseudomonadati; Bacteroidota; Flavobacteriia; Flavobacteriales; Flavobacteriaceae. The record is from RNAcentral.
UGCAAGUCGAGGGGUAGAGUUCUUCGGAGCUUGAGACCGGCGCACGGGUGCGUAACGCGUAUGCAAUCUACCUUUUACAGAGGGAUAGCCCAGAGAAAUUUGGAUUAAUACCUCAUAGUAUAUCACAAUCGCAUGAUUGAGUUAUUAAAGUCACAACGGUAAAAGAUGAGCAUGCGUCCCAUUAGCUAGUUGGUAAGGUAACGGCUUACCAAGGCUACGAUGGGUAGGGGUCCUGAGAGGGAGAUCCCCCACACUGGUACUGAGACACGGACCAGACUCCUACGGGAGGCAGCAGUGAGGAAUAUUGGACAAUGGGCGCAAGCCUGAUCCAGCCAUGCCGCGUGCAGGAUGACGGUCCUAUGGAUUGUAAACUGCUUUUAUACGAGAAGAAACACUCCGACGUGUCGGAGCUUGACGGUAUCGUAAGAAUAAGGAUCGGCUAACUCCGUGCCAGCAGCCGCGGUAAUACGGAGGAUCCAAGCGUUAUCCGGAAUCAUUGGGUUUAAAGGGUCCGUAGGCGGUUUGGUAAGUCAGUGGUGAAAGCCCAUCGCUCAACGGUGGAACGGCCAUUGAUACUGCCAGACUUGAAUUAUUAGGAAGUAACUAGAAUAUGUAGUGUAGCGGUGAAAUGCUUAGAGAUUACAUGGAAUACCAAUUGCGAAGGCAGGUUACUACUAAUUGAUUGACGCUGAUGGACGAAAGCGUGGGUAGCGAACAGGAUUAGAUACCCUGGUAGUCCACGCCGUAAACGAUGGAUACUAGCUGUUGGGAGCAAUCUCAGUGGCUAAGCGAAAGUGAUAAGUAUCCCACCUGGGGAGUACGUUCGCAAGAAUGAAACUCAAAGGAAUUGACGGGGGCCCGCACAAGCGGUGGAGCAUGUGGUUUAAUUCGAUGAUACGCGAGGAACCUUACCAAGGCUUAAAUGUAGAUUGACCGGUUUGGAAACAGAUCUUUCGCAAGACAAUUUACAAGG